Molecule: ribosomal RNA, 532 nt
Filed under: uncultured crenarchaeote
Lineage: Archaea; Thermoproteati; Thermoproteota
Description: bacterial SSU rRNA
Rfam family: Archaeal small subunit ribosomal RNA
Source: RNAcentral
UCGCGAAAACUUUGCAAUAAGCGAAAGCUUGACAGGGCUAUCCCGAGUGCCAUCCGCUGAGGAAGGCUUUUACCCAGUCUAGAACGCUGGGGGAAUAAGGAGAGGGCAAGUCUGGUGUCAGCCGCCGCGGUAAUACCAGCUCUCCGAGUGGUGUGGAUGUUUAUUGGGCCUAAAGCAUCCGUAGCUGGCUAGGUCAGUCCCUUGUUAAAUCCACCGAAUUAAUCGUUGGAUUGCGGGGGAUACUGCUUGGCUAGGGGACGAGAGAGGCAGACGGUAUUUUCGGGGUAGGGGUGAAAUCCUAUAAUCCCGGGAAGACCACCAGUGGCGAAGGCUGUCUGCUAGAACGCGCCCGACGGUGAGGGAUGAAAGCUGGGGGAGCGAACCGGAUUAGAUACCCGGGUAGUCCCAGCUGUAAACGAUGCAGACUAGGUGUUUGGACGGCCACGUGCCGUUCUAGUGCCGCAGGGAAGCUGUUAAGUCUGCCGCCUGGGGAGUACGAUCGCAAGAUUGAAACUUAAGGAAUUGGCGGGGG